This 467-nucleotide ribosomal RNA is filed under the name uncultured bacterium. Its description in RNAcentral is "partial 16S ribosomal RNA". It matches the Rfam family "Bacterial small subunit ribosomal RNA", at positions 28 to 506 of the family's 1533-position model. The record is from RNAcentral.
GACGAACGCUGGCGGCGUGCUUAACACAUGCAAGUCGAACGGAAAGGCCCUGCUUUUGUGGGGUGCUCGAGUGGCGAACGGGUGAGUAACACGUGAGUAACCUGCCCUUGACUUUGGGAUAACUUCAGGAAACUGGGGCUAAUACCUGAUAGGAGCUCCUGCUGCAUGGUGGGGGUUGGAAAGUUUCGGCGGUUGGGGAUGUACUCGCGGCUUAUCAGCUUGUUGGUGGGGUAGUGGCUUACCAAGGCUUUGACGGGUAGCCGGACUGAGAGGGUGACCGGCCACAGAGGGACUGAGAUACGGCCCAGACUCCUACGGGAGGCAGCAGUGGGAAAUAGUGCACAAUGGGCGGAAGCCUGAUGCAGCAACGCCGCGUGCGGGAUGACGGCCUUCGGGGAGUAAACCGCUUUCGCCUGUGACGAAGCGUGAGUGACGGUAAUGGGUAAAGAAGCACCGGCUAACUACGU